RNAcentral lists this unclassified non-coding RNA (148 nucleotides) under uncultured Zasmidium. RNAcentral's name for it is "sequence contains ITS2". The record is from RNAcentral. Lineage: Eukaryota; Fungi; Ascomycota; Dothideomycetes; Mycosphaerellales; Mycosphaerellaceae.
CACCAAUCGAGCCUGGCUCGGUAUUGGGCGUCGCGGGUCCUCGACCCGCGCGCCUUAAAGUCUCACCGGCUGAGCGACCCGUCUCCAAGCGUUGUGGCAACUAUUCGCGGGAGGGACGGGCGGCGUGGCCGUUAAACACCCCAUCAAA